This 292-nucleotide ribosomal RNA is filed under the name uncultured bacterium. Its description in RNAcentral is "partial 16S ribosomal RNA". It matches the Rfam family "Archaeal small subunit ribosomal RNA", at positions 455 to 747 of the family's 1478-position model. The record is from RNAcentral.
GUGCCAGCCGCCGCGGUAAAACCAGCACCUCAAGUGGUCAGGAUGAUUAUUGGGCCUAAAGCAUCCGUAGCUCGUUUUGUAAGUUUUCGGUUAAAUCCAUGCGCUUAACGUAUGGGCUGCCGGGAAUACUGCAUAACUAGGAAGUGGGAGAGGUAGACGGUACUCGGUAGGAAGGGGUAAAAUCCUUUGAUCUAUUGAUGACCACCUGUGGCGAAGGCGGUCUACCAGAACACGUUCGACGGUGAGGGAUGAAAGCUGGGGGAGCAAACCGGAUUAGAUACCCUCGUAGUCC